This 620-nucleotide ribosomal RNA is filed under the name uncultured bacterium. RNAcentral's name for it is "bacterial SSU rRNA". It matches the Rfam family "Bacterial small subunit ribosomal RNA", at positions 28 to 674 of the family's 1533-position model. The record is from RNAcentral.
GACGAACGCUGGCGGUGUGCUUCACACAUGCAAGUCGAACGGAGUAGCAAUACUCAGUGGCGGACGGGUGAGUAACACGUGGGAAUCUACCAUUAGGUGGGGAAUAACAGGCCGAAAGGACUGCUAAUGCCGCAUAUGUAGGCAUCUCGACAGAGAUGUUUAUGAAAGGAGUAAUCCGCCUUUUGAUGAGCCCGCGUCCGAUUAGCUAGUUGGUAGGGUAAAAGCCUACCAAGGCGACGAUCGGUAGGUGGUCUGAGAGGAUGAUCACCCAUAAUGGGACUGAGACACGGCCCAUACUCCUACGGGAGGCAGCAGUGGGGAAUUUUACGCAAUGGGGGAAACCCUGACGUAGCGACACCGCGUGAGCGAAGAAGCCCUUUGGGGUGUAAAGCUCUGUCAACAGGAACGAAACAAAUGACGGUACCUGUGGAGGAAGCAUCGGCUAACUACGUGCCAGCAGCCGCGGUAAGACGUAGGAUGCAAGCGUUGUCCGGAUUUAUUGGGCGUAAAGAGUUCGUAGGCGGUUUGUUAAGUCUGAUGUUAAAGACCGGGGCUCAACCUCGGAAAUGCAUUGGAUACUGGCAGACUGGAGUGCAGUAGAGGCUAGUGGAAUUCCCAGU